Long non-coding RNA from Siniperca chuatsi (mandarin fish), 602 nucleotides. RefSeq lists it as uncharacterized. The record is from RefSeq and is a predicted model, not a curated record. The transcript has 2 exons. Lineage: Eukaryota; Metazoa; Chordata; Actinopteri; Centrarchiformes; Sinipercidae.
CUGGGUCGUUUCUUUGUUCUGGGUCGGAUCAUCGUUGUACACAUGGUGUUGUUCCUGCCAAGCCUUGACUUUCAGAGGACGGCAGGACAUGCUGUAUCCAAAUAUGUCCCUCGGACGGCCGGACCAACCUAAUAGAGAGCCCGGGGGCAAAAAUGAGUUGUGCCCCCCCCCGAUCUCCUGUUCUCUCUGUGCAUUGUGUAUAAACCCAGUCACCUUCAAGUUCUCAUCAUGUACAGUUCAUAGACACGUGCCACCAUCAUUAUAUUUUGCCUGGAACCCCAGAAACCGACAAGGGCCCUGUUUCCCAAACGAAGGCUAAUAGCAUCUUAAGAAGCUCCGCAAACCAGUGUUUUUAUUGAAUUUGUUCAUUUUUAAGUCUAUACACUGUCCUCAAACAGAAAUGUAAAAACAACAACUUGUGUUUUUAUUUGUCUUUUUUAGUCAUUUGUCUUAUGUCGUCACAGUGAGGUUGCCAGGUUUGGUGCCAUCGAGCCGGCGCAGAGGCCAAAACCAAAAUCUCAAAGACUGAAUCUGCCAACGCUAUAACCGCAGAUGUUGCACAGAAGUACUGAGCGAAUAAAUACACUGUUGUUCGUCCUUUA